Molecule: ribosomal RNA, 85 nt
Filed under: Clostridium sp.
Lineage: Bacteria; Bacillati; Bacillota; Clostridia; Eubacteriales; Clostridiaceae
Description: partial 23S ribosomal RNA
Rfam family: Bacterial large subunit ribosomal RNA
Source: RNAcentral
GAAGACUACCAGGUUGAUAGGUGAGGGGUGUAAGCAUGGUAACAUGUUCAGCUGACUCAUACUAAUAAGUCGAGGGCUUGAUCUA